GGGCUUCAUAGUCUUGCAAUUGGAAUGAGUAGAUUUUAAAUCUCUUUACGAGUAUCAAUUGGAGGGCAAGUCUGGUGCCAGCAGCCGCGGUAAUUCCAGCUCCAAUAGCGUAUAUUAAAGUUGUUGCGGUUAAAAAGCUCGUAGUUGGAUUUCUGCCAAGAACGACCGUCCUACCUUCGGGUUUUGGACCGUGUUGAUCGAGGCAUUCUUCUAGAUUCUAUCUACUCUUAAUUGCUGUAGAAUUGAACUAGAACAUUUACUUUGAGGAAAUUAGAGCGUUUCAAGCAGG
Molecule: ribosomal RNA, 289 nt
Filed under: uncultured Perkinsea
Lineage: Eukaryota; Perkinsozoa
Description: partial small subunit ribosomal RNA
Rfam family: Eukaryotic small subunit ribosomal RNA
Source: RNAcentral